Molecule: long non-coding RNA, 750 nt
Organism: Malus domestica (apple)
Lineage: Eukaryota; Viridiplantae; Streptophyta; Magnoliopsida; Rosales; Rosaceae
Source: RefSeq, a predicted model, not a curated record
UAUAAGGGAUGAUAUAUAUGGAAGUGGAACUAACCCACACAGAAAUACAAUAAAUAAUUACCCAAGUUGACUUUAGGAGAAAUAUUCUUAUCAGUUACGUUUUGGCUUUUGCAUAUUCAACUUGUCCUUCUUAUCUUAAUUAAUAUAAAACGCCAGCCAUUCCCACAUGUUUCCUCAUGCCAAUAGCCAUCAUCGCCCACCCUCUCUCCCCUCCUUUUAUUUUUCUCCAGUCUGCAGUGCUGUGUAGAUCCAUUGAGUGCUUCAUAAGAAGCAAAGGCAUGGCGCACAAGUGUAAUUUUAUGACACAACUAGUUAUCUUUCUAUGUUUUACAUAUGUCCUAUCAUCAAUAGCUGCAGCUCUACGACAAGAAGUCGGAAGAUAAGUAAGGAAGGCCUACCGAGUCAGAAUUUGUUGGAUGAAGGUGUCCUUGAUUUGGGAGAAGGAUUUGUGGAGGGGCGGAUGGAUCUGGAAACCAAUGAUUAUUCAGGGGUUGGAGCAAAUCCGGUGCAUGAUCCAAAACCCCCAGGAAGAAUUUGAGCCUUAUGGUGGGUUUUGUUUUUGAACUUUUGAUCUGGUUGGGGUUUUCUUCAGUUGUAUGUCCUCCAUGUCCAUACACGUAAUAAUUUAAUAUACAAGAAUUAUUUUUUGGGUGAUAAGAACAACGUGCUUGUUGAAUACAAUCUUUCUGGUUUUUGGUUGUUGUAAUCUUCUUCUAAUUAUUUUAUUAAUUCUCCUUUAUUAUUUGUUGC